CCUACGAGUGGCAGCAGUGAGGAAUAUUGGUCAAUGGGCGAGAGCCUGAACCAGCCAAGUCGCGUGAGGGAGUACUGCCCUAUGGGUUGUAAACCUCUUUUGUCGGGGAGCAAAAGCCGGACGUGUCCGGCUGUGAGAGUACCCCAAGAAAAAGCAUCUGCUAACUCCGAGCCAGCAGCCGCGGUAAUACGGAGGAUGCGAGCGUUAUCCGGUUUUAUUGGGUUUAAGGGGUGCGCAGGCGGAUUUUUAAGUCAGCGGUCAAAGCGUGGGGCUCAACCCCAUACAGCCGGUGAAACUGGGGAUCUAGAGUGUGCGAGAGGUAUGCGGAAUGCGUGGUGUAGCGGUGAAAUGCAUAGAUAUCACGCAGAACCCCGAUUGCGAAGGCAGCAUACCGGUGCACAACUGACGCUCAGGCACGAAAGCGUGGGUAUCGAACAGGAUUAGAUACCCCGGUAGUC
RNAcentral lists this ribosomal RNA (458 nucleotides) under uncultured bacterium. Its description in RNAcentral is "partial 16S ribosomal RNA". It matches the Rfam family "Bacterial small subunit ribosomal RNA", at positions 338 to 795 of the family's 1533-position model. The record is from RNAcentral.